UUUAUGGAGAGUUUGAUCCUAGCUCAGAGUGAACGCUGGCGGCGUGCCUAACACAUGCAAGUUGUGCGGGAUUGUGCAGAGGAUCGCAUGAUUUAGCGGCAAACGGGUGAGUAACACAUAGGAAACCUCCCUCAAAAUGGGGAAUAUUUCCGAGAAAUCGGAGUCAAUACCGCAUAGGACCACAAUUUGACAUCAAAUAAGGGUUAAAGCAGUAAUGCGUUUUGAGAUGGUCCUGUGGCCUAUCAGCUAGUUGGUGGGGUAAUAGCCUACCAAGGCUAUGACGGGUAUCCGGCCUGAAAGGGUGAACGGACACACUGGAACUGAGACACGGUCCAGACUCCUACGGGAGGCAGCAGUGGGGAAUUUUGGACAAUGGGGGAAACCCUGAUCCAGCGACGCCGCGU
Molecule: ribosomal RNA, 404 nt
Filed under: Endomicrobium sp.
Lineage: Bacteria; Pseudomonadati; Elusimicrobiota; Endomicrobiia; Endomicrobiales; Endomicrobiaceae
Description: bacterial SSU rRNA
Rfam family: Bacterial small subunit ribosomal RNA
Source: RNAcentral